Molecule: ribosomal RNA, 450 nt
Filed under: uncultured bacterium
Lineage: Bacteria
Description: partial 16S ribosomal RNA
Rfam family: Bacterial small subunit ribosomal RNA
Source: RNAcentral
GUAGGGAAUCUUCCACAAUGGACGAAAGUCUGAUGGAGCAACGCCGCGUGAGUGAAGAAGGUCUUCGGAUCGUAAAACUCUGUUGUUAGAGAAGAACGUGCAUGAUAGUAACUGAUCAUGUAAUGACGGUAUCUAACCAGAAAGCCACGGCUAACUACGUGCCAGCAGCCGCGGUAAUACGUAGGUGGCAAGCGUUGUCCGGAUUUAUUGGGCGUAAAGGGAACGCAGGCGGUUUUUUAAGUCUGAUGUGAAAGCCUUCGGCUUAACCGAAGAAUAGCAUUGGAAACUGGAAGACUUGAGUGCAGAAGAGGAGAGUGGAAUUCCAUGUGUAGCGGUGAAAUGCGUAGAUAUAUGGGGGAACACCAGUGGCGAAAGCGGCUCUCUGGUCUGUAACUGACGCUGAGGUUCGAAAGCGUGUGUAGCAAACAGGAUUAGAAACCCCAGUAGUCC